Molecule: long non-coding RNA, 633 nt
Filed under: Olea europaea subsp. europaea
Lineage: Eukaryota; Viridiplantae; Streptophyta; Magnoliopsida; Lamiales; Oleaceae
Source: RNAcentral
CAGAUCAUCUUACUCUACAAUCCCAUACCAAAAAUUAGUAUAAUAGUUCCAAAAUCAAAUGAAAUUCAGGGCUGAAAACAUAACUUCACGCAAGAGUCAAAUACUAAUUCAGGGCAACCCUCCAACGCCCAUGGCCAAACUCCAUUAUAGGCUUCUAAUACUCCUCUAGCCGAGCAGUUUCAUAGUCCCAUAUUAUCAAGAAACAGUUUAAAUCAGAUUCAAUCUCCUUCCAAUUUGAAGGCAGCAAACCACGCAAUUUUCAUCCCAAAUUUCGACGUUGGCGUUGAGAACCACGGUCGGGGACCACUACCAUUUUCUUCUACUCAACAUGGUGAACAAAAUGCAUAUACGGGUCUUCAUCAAUUUGUCUUGAAUCAACCAAUUAGUGAAGAUGCACCUUUCUACCUGUAAAUGCCUCUCGACUCCAUUUCAAUUGAACACUUAAAUCUGUACCAAUUGGUUGGACAUGAUCCAUUGGAAUUCGUGACACAAAACUUAAUUAAAACUUUAUCAAAAUUUCAAUGCUCUCCAAUUUGGUGGAUUAAGAAUAAAGGUUUUUUUGUAUUUUUGUAUUUUUAGUUUUGAAUUUUAAGAAUAUAUUUUUAACUCAUUUGUAAUUUUUUUAAAUUUGGG